GAUGAAGAACGCAGCGAAAUGCGAUAAGUAAUGUGAAUUGCAGAAUUCAGUGAAUCAUCGAAUCUUUGAACGCACAUUGCGCCCGCCAGUAUUCUGGCGGGCAUGCCUGUUCGAGCGUCAUUUCAACCAUCAAGCCCCCGGCUUGUGUUGGGGACCUGCGGCUGCCGCAGGCCCUGAAAACCAGUGGCGGGCUCGCUAGUCACUCCGAGCGUAGUAAUACAUCUCGCUCAGGGCGUGCUGCGGGUUCCGGCCGUUAAAAAGCCUUAUUUACCCAAGGUUGACCUCGGAUCAGGUAGGAAGACCCGCUGAACUUAAGCAUAUCAUAAGCGGAGGA
This 334-nucleotide unclassified non-coding RNA is filed under the name soil metagenome. Its description in RNAcentral is "partial contains 5.8S ribosomal RNA, internal transcribed spacer 2, and large subunit ribosomal RNA". The stretch from base 1 to 120 matches the Rfam family "5.8S ribosomal RNA", at positions 35 to 154 of the family's 154-position model. The record is from RNAcentral.